RNAcentral lists this long non-coding RNA (7152 nucleotides) under Ananas comosus (pineapple). RNAcentral's name for it is "long non-coding RNA (ACOM_LNC029159)". The record is from RNAcentral. Lineage: Eukaryota; Viridiplantae; Streptophyta; Magnoliopsida; Poales; Bromeliaceae.
GGUGAUCCAAUCACCGUGUCCUCUUUGAAUACACUCCCCCCCGCCCCGAACUCUGUCUCGAUCUCUCCCUCUCUCUCGAUCUCUCUCUCUCUCUCGCUCUCUUCCUCUUGCUCUCUCUCUCUCCGACGCCGCCGACGCCGCCGCCGCCGCCGCCCCCCCCCCCGAACUCUGUCUCGAUCUCUCCCUCUCUCUCGAUCUCCCUCUCUCUCGCUCUCUUCCUCUUGCUCUCUCUCUCUCUGGCCGACGCCGACGCCGCCGCCGCCCUUUGUUGCCCGAGGUAGCUUCAUUCCUCGUUCUCCCUAGCCCUAGAAGCUUCUCUCUCUCUCUCUCUCUCUCUCUCUCUCUCUCUCUCCCCCUCUGUGGCCCACACUGCCGCCGUCGGCGACGCCGCCGCCGCCCUCACCCGCCUCUGUGAGGCUUCUCACAGUGAGAAGCCCCACCCCACCCCACACCCCACCCGCCUCUGUGAGGCUUCUCACAGUGAGAAGGGCUUCUCACUGUGAGAAGCCCCCUCACAAUCCCUCACUGUGAGAAGCUUCUCACUGUGAGAAGUCCCCUCACAGUCCCUCACAUUGGCUUCUCACAAUGAGAAGCCCUCACUGUGAGAAUCCCCCCCCUCCCUCUCACAGUGAGAAGCCACUGUGAGGCUUCUCACUGUGAGGCGCGGGGGGGCUUCUCACAGUGAGAAGCCACUGUAAGGCACGGGGGGUUUGAGGCUUCUCACAGUGAGAAUCCCCCCCCCCCCCCCCCCCCCCCCCCCCCCCCCCCCCCCNCCAAAAUUCACAUUAUCUAGAAUUCUCAGAAUAUUUCUUGCAAUAAAAGCAUCCUUAGCGACUCUGAGAUUCCUAACCCUUAGAACCCCUCGGCGCUUGGUGUACAAUAAAGCAUUCUUUAUUGGCGUACUGCAUAAACGAUUGGAUGCCUUGCCAAUUGGCAUGCUUCAUAGAGCAUUCUUGAUUUUAGAGCUCUCAACCAUUUUGGUAAGGGUAGGAUGAGCACUCAAGGGGAUUUCGGAAGAGUAGGCCUCAAGCGGAUAUGGAGUGUUCUUCCCCAAGUCACACAACGAGAAACUAUAUAAAUUUGGGCUUUUUAUGCAUUUAGCCCCCUGGCAAAUUUUUAUUUUAAAAAUAGCCCUGUCAAAAUUUAAUUUGCAAAAAUAGCCCUAGGCCUACCACGCAGGCGCCAUGUCAGCGCCACGCGGGCGGGGCUGGGGGGCGGUAGUUAAGUUAAAAACGGUGAACCAUUCACCAUGUCUAAACACGGUGAACCAUUCACCGUGUUUUGGUACGUAUUUUUUGUAUAUUGAAAAGAGGAAUAGGGAAUUUGUAUUCCUUUUCUUCUCUUUUUCAAAAAUCCGAACCCGAACCCGAAAAUCAAAUUAAAAUCCAAACCCGGAUCCGAACCCGACGGAUUUUAAAAAUUCAUACCCAUAUCCAUAUCUAACCAAAAACUCGAUACCCGAACCUGAACCCAGCGGGUUUUAAAAAUCUAUACCGUUGGAUGAAGAUCUAAGAAAUAAAAAUUAUUAAAUAUUUUAUAUAUUGUAUAAAUAAAUAAAAAUAAAUUAUGUAUAUAUAUAUAUAUAAUUUAUUUGGGUUUGGAUUCGGAUAAUAUUUCGGAUAUCCAUACCUAUUGACAUCCCUACUCCCUAUUCCUCUUUUCAAUAAAAAUACGUACUAAACACGGUGAAUCGUUCACCGUGUUCAACUUAACACACGGGCCCCGGUCCUGCCCGCGUGGCGCUGACGUGGCGUCUGCAUGGCAGGCCCAGGCCAUUUUUGCAAAUUAAAUUUUGACAGGGCUAAUUUUAAAAUAAAAAUUUGCCAGGGGGCUAAAUGCAAAAAAAGCCCUAUAAAUUUAGAAAAGCUUUGGCAAUGUCCACUUGAGAAUCGACACUGGAAGCAUUAGCUCAAUAAUGGCUUUAACCUAUUCAUGUGCCUUCUAAUGAUAAUGACACAAAGAUUUGGCGGGUUUUGUGGUUUUUUAGUAUUUAGUGGGGAAAGUGGAAAGCAUGGUGUAUUCGGGCGGUUACUUAUGUUUGAGCCUUUAAAUAAAUAACACUCUUGAUGUACUUUCUCAACUACAUUUUGUAGGGUAUUCGUGAUUCUCAACAGUUAUUGGGUCAAUUAGAUGUGAAUUUGUUUCAAGUCCCAGACUAUUGAAGUGCUGCCGUUGUAAUCUAAAAUAAAUUUGUCGACCUAGAUCUAAAAAAAAAGAAAAAAAAUCCAUAUAAGUACUUAGAACCUCCCUAUGCCCUGCUAUAUUCUGAAGUAUUGUAGUAUUUGGUUUCUUGCUUCUGCACAUAUUCUACGACUAAAGUUACACUUCUAUCUACUAAAGGCUUAAUUACACUAUCUCACACUAAAUAUUAGGGGUGCUUUUAUUUUCUACACUAUACUUAAUUCUUUGUCCAACUCUCCAUUAUACUUUAGUUUCUACAAUGAUUUCUAUACUACAUUAACAGAUGACAAAAUUUUAAAUAGUUUUGAGCAAUUUCUCACCACUUAUAUUUCCUAUGAUCCCUGACAUACAAAAGACCUAGUUUCAAUAGGUAACCUAUUCUUAAAUGUCUUUUAUUGAGGAAAAAUGGAGAGCAGCGUUACGCCUUGGGUUACAGUGGAAGCCCUCAGGCAUACAAACAGGUCUGCCGUAUGUGCGAAGACGGUUUUGCUAUGAUGCAGAAUUGGGUGCAGCUAGGAUUGAGUCGUUUAGGUUUUAAUUAUUUUUCUAAUUUUUGAAAUUAUUUUGUUUGUUAAUUUGUUUUAGUCGGUUUUAAAGAUUUUUAGGAUUUAUCAUGUGGAAUAAAUCUCUAAAAAUUAGGGAUAUGGUUUAGGCUUUUUCUUGGAUAUAUUUGAAUUAGGAAAGCUUAGAUAUAUUCGAAUUAGGAAAGAUCUCUAAAAUAGUGGAAUUUGAAUCAAAUUAGGAUUAUGCUUUGAAGUUUAUAAAUAUAGCCUAUGCCUUGUAAUUUAGGGACGAGUUGUGAUGGAAUAAAAUUUGGGUUUGUGUUUUGACUGUGAUCAUGGUAUAUUCUUCCCCUUCUUUGCAAUGUGCGUCGGCAAAAUCCUUCUUUCUAAAAUGUUCCACCUUCUCCUUCCUUUCUCAUCUUUUCUCUUUUUAUCUAUUUCUUUCUUAUCCUUCUUCUAGAUUUGCUUUUCCCCUAUUAUUUGGCUACUUUAUUCCAUUUUCUCUUAAUUUCUUUUUUUUUUAAAUACAAAAAAAAUUGUCGGAACCUUAUUCUUAGAGGCGAUCUAUUCUGGAUUUUAUUCUUUUUUUUAAUUCCGAAAAUUGAUUUAAAAAUUCACUAUUUUAUUUAUAAAUUAAAAAAUUUGAAAAUUAAACUAAAAUUUUAGAAAAUUCUAAAUUUGGUUUUAUAUUUUUUUUUGGGCUCAUUAUCUGCAAGAUAGAUUAGGGUUUUCUUAAUUUGUUCUACAGCAUGCUACAUACGAAGCCUAACACAACUAACCUGCACAUACCAUUUUCAUAGAACAUAUGUAUGGAAAGCAUAUGGUAGAUAUAUCAGAGUCUAAGUACAACUAUACAACUAUAGCUACAACUAUACAAGCCAUCGCUGUUUAUCCCAAAAUAAUACCCAUCAUUUGUCCGUCUCUCUCUCUCUACAACAUAUGUACUGCUAGCUAUUCCAUCGCCAUAUGGAUCCUCCACUAGAAGCUCUCCAGGGAUGCUAUCUAGCUCGCGAUUCUCUUACUUCGAUUACCUGUCGGCACUAAGGGCUCUGAAAUUAAUAUAACAACAAGAGUGUGAGAACUAUUAAAAAAUUAUUUCUAGUGGGUAUGAUUGACGAUAAAGAUGACCUAUAUCACUAGGUCUACUUGAGGCAUCAAUAAUAUAAGUUGUAGCUGAAAUAGAUAGCAAUGUGAUAUAACAAGCUAUCAACAAAUAGCCACUAUUAUGCCUCUACAAAGAAAGUGCUUGGAACUAUAAAUCAUGUCACAUCAUGUGUCAAAUAUAGUAACUGAUAAUAAGUGCCAUAUCUAUCCAAUCACACCGACUGACUCAUAAGUCUGGUUAAGUCCGCGCCGCGCCUAGUGAACAUAGAACAAUCGCAUUUGAACCACUAAGGUUGUCAAUUAAGGCAACUCGAGCAAUUGCAUAGUUGCACAGCACUGCCUUCGAAGGGCUAUCUUAUUGGGGAGCGACCCCACAUAAGUAUACACAUAUAGUUGAGCUCACUUUGGCUCCUGCAAGCUAUAGUCACGUGCCAUGGUCAACAAAAUCACAUGAGCUUUCCAUUUCACAUUUCACUUGCCUCAUAUCACUUUCACAUAAGUUCAUGCCCACUAAUCCCCACUCUCACAUGUCUCCUGACAUAGCAAGUAUCUCAAGGUGAUAGAACUUGAAAGGCUCUAACAAGUAUCUCGAAUAGGUUUUCACUAUGUUUACAUAGGUUCCAACUCAGGUGCCAGUGUGCCACUCUCCCUGUCAUGCUCUCUAUAGCAAGAUAUAGUGAAGUACAAGAUGCUAACAAGUUCAUCAUGCCAUUAGGACAAAUAAUUUCCACCAGAACAUGAAGGUAUAGACAUAUUGAUUAAUUCACCAUUUUCGGCAACAAAUACCCACCAGAUCAAUUCUUCCAAUUUGUAGUAACUCCAACUCAGCUCUUGGGAACUCUCCAGCCCUAUACAAGUAUGUUUAUAUAGAUCAAACCUCAGCCAAUAUCAUCUCUUCAAGGUACAUCAAUUGUAGCAAAAGCAAUCUCAAAUCUCUAUAUUUCAUAUCUCGACCCUCAAUUCUUACCUUGAUUAUGCACUAACAGGUUCGAGCACAAGAUAGGAUCAUUUGAAAGGUCUCCUUCUCCACUCCACUCUCAGUUGCAUACGAAUUAAAAGUUACUAGGAGGAAGCUUAAUCAACUUGAGGGCCCUUUAAAUCUACGAAUAGGUUUUCACUAUGUUUACAUAGGUUCCAACUCAGGUGCCAGUGUGCCACUCUCCCUGUCAUGCUCUCUAUAGCAAGAUAUAGUGAAGUACAAGAUGCUAACAAGUUCAUCAUGCCAUUAGGACAAAUAAUUUCCACCAGAACAUGAAGGUAUAGACAUAUUGAUUAAUUCACCAUUUUCGGCAACAAAUACCCACCAGAUCAAUUCUUCCAAUUUGUAGUAACUCCAACUCAGCUCUUGGGAACUCUCCAGCCCUAUACAAGUAUGUUUAUAUAGAUCAAACCUCAGCCAAUAUCAUCUCUUCAAGGUACAUCAAUUGUAGCAAAAGCAAUCUCAAAUCUCUAUAUUUCAUAUCUCGACCCUCAAUUCUUACCUUGAUUAUGCACUAACAGGUUCGAGCACAAGAUAGGAUCAUUUGAAAGGUCUCCUUCUCCACUCCACUCUCAGUUGCAUACGAAUUAAAAGUUACUAGGAGGAAGCUUAAUCAACUUGAGGGCCCUUUAAAUCUAGGAUCCACGGGUAAAUAAAAAAAAUGGAAGAAGAGGGAGAGUAACAUCCCAAUAGUCUCACAUUGGAUGGGUGUGGGGUUGUGAUUAGGCAUAUAAGCUACUAUGGACCCUAGUAAUAAUUAUUGGGCUUAAGCAUUUUGGGCCUAACGAGUUAUUAUUAUUUCUAGCGGGUCGGGUCACGAUAUUUGGUAUUACAGCUGGUUCACUAGCCGAAAGUGUGAGAUGAGUCUUGACUGAGCUAGGGUCGGAAUGACAGACUAAGCCAGGGUUUUGGAAAUAACAGGCUAAGCCAGGGUCGAAAUGACAAAGCUAGCGAAACAAAUCUCACAUUGCUUGGUGAUCUUAGGGUGACGAGAGCGUCAGGGCCUAAAUGGGAGGAGUCUGUGAUAUCCUGAUAGUCCCACAUCGGAUGGGAGCAGGGUAGUGAUCUGGUAUAUAAGAGAUUACGGACCCUAGUGAUAAUAAAUGGGCUUAAGCAUUUGGGUCGGUGGUUUGGGUCUAACGAGUUAUUAUUAUUGCUAGCUGGUUGGAUCGUUACAGAGAGAAAUGGGGUUCCUUAAGCUGGAAAUAAAGGAGCUACUUGUGGUGAAAGCCCUCUUAUAGAGACGCAACAAUUGCGUUUAAACGCCUCAAAUCAAUGGAAUUAGCCAACUAAGUGGCUUAGCCUGAAACCAAUUUCGGGCAAUCGAAACCACUUUCGAUCGUUCACAACCUUAUUGAUGAGUCACCUGUUUACUGCUUUCCUAUUUGUUGAUCUUAUCAGUAGACUUUGAGCGUCAUAGGGAUUUCUAGGUGUUCGAAACAUUGCGUGAACAGACCUUAGCUCUUGGGUUGAGCGUCUGAAACACUUUUGGGUGUCCAAUUUUGCGCUGAAUCUUCCAGGCGUCCACAGGACAAUCCGGACCAUCCAAAACAUUGUGUUCCACUCAGCACAACACUUUUGGACGCCCACAGCUACUUUCGGAUGUCCGAUAGUAUUUAGAAAGUUUAGUUUCAUCUGAAAACAUUUUCGGAUUAUGUUUUCUUGCCCUUUUCACAUCAGAAUAGAUCUAAAUCAACGCAGUGACCUCCAGAAAUCUUUUAGAAGUACCAAUUAUCAUCUCAUAUAGUAUAAUAACUCGCGCAAUGCGACGGGUUGAUAUUGCCAAACUCAAAAUUCUAUCUUAGCUAAAGAAUAAAUAUAAAAACAAUUAUAAAUAGUAAAAAUCAAUAUAUAGAUAAAAGAAGAAGUAUAAAAAGAAGAAUAUAAAAAGAGCAUAGAAUUAGGAAACAAAACUGAAGCACGCUACAUGCAACCAUCGUCCAAUGCCUGAAUCAAAGAAGACCAAAAGAAUAUUUGCAUAGACAAAGUAGAAACAAUUGUAAAAUAGUUUAUAAUUCAAGCAUAGUACUAAUAGAACAGCAAGAAGCAUAAAUACUUCUACGGUGUCUACAAAUCUUAAAAUAAAAUGAAUAAUAAUAGUAAUAAAGUGGUAAUAAGUUAAAUUUGGUGACGGAGUUGACAUAAAGUUGAUGUGCUAGCGUGUGUUGUUCUUUUUUUUUUCCACAUUCAUGGUUAUAUAUUAAGGCGCAUCCUUCCUUUGGUCUUUGAUAUUAUUUGUUCAGCUUGCUUUGUUGGCGUAGUUUAACUACAAAAAAUAUUUUAAGCAAAACAAUUCGCUAAUUAGUUAGCAUGAAACAUUUUCUCAUAUAUCGAAGCACAAAAUAAGGAUAGUGUGCCAAAUGAUUUAACACAUGCAUUUUAAUG